GCCUGGGACUACGUGUGUCUGGGGCCUUCUCUUCUUCCCUGGCCUCUUGCCAGGAGGGGGCUAGCUGUAGCCCUGCACCUCCAGGCCUGAAGGCCAUGUGCCCUCGGCUUCCUGGCCUAGAUGUUCCUCCACAUGGCUGGUUCCUGGUGCUUGAGACUCCCACUCCCUGAGGAUAGAAAAGGAAACAAAAGGAAACCUGCUCCAGCCAUAGAACAUCAGAAUGACAGAUGGGAAGGACCGACAAACCUGAAUCUCUAAAGCACACAGAAUGUUCCACUCUGGUUUGGAGAAAGAAACGAAUCCUGCCUGGUGACAUGCACCCACACGUGAAGACUUCAUACGGAAACUGCACCAUUUCUCCAGCAUUUUGUAAGCAAAAAGGUACAGCCCUGUCCCUAAAACAGGAAAACGGACAGAAGAGAAGGCGGUGAUUCCUGCUCAGAGACCCAGGACCUUCUCCAAACUGAACAGAAUGUGAAAUGUGAUUUUGUUCUCCUCGUUGAUGCUCUACACACCAACAUGCCUAUAUUUACAGAUAGGAAGUAAUGAAGGCUAAGUGAAGAUAUAAGGAAAGGGGCAAAAAGCCAGAGGGAAGUAUGUGUUACACCAUCUCUGGCCCAACAGCGACAAAGGAAGAAAACAGUGAGUAUGAAGCUCCAUAAGGAUGGAACGUCUUCAGGUGUGACUGUUUCAACGUUUAAAAGGCUAAUAUGGCUCAAAGUGAACAGUGAACAUCUGAGCUGCUCCCUGUAAGGUACCCUAUGGUCGAGUUUCCAGGCAUGGUGGCCUUGGGUUCAUGAGUUUCAGUAAUAGAAAACAAAACAAACAAACAAAAAAAACUGGGCCCAAUAAAUCUAAGGCUCUGGAUAUGGAAUUUUCUUGCAUUGGUUCUUAGUGAUUUUAGUCAGGACCACUCUUUCCAAACAUUUCAGCACUGUCUCAACUGACUUAUCAUGUAUUUUGGGCAUGGACUCGGGCACGGAUAAAGCUCU
Molecule: non-coding RNA, 992 nt
Organism: Oryctolagus cuniculus (rabbit)
Lineage: Eukaryota; Metazoa; Chordata; Mammalia; Lagomorpha; Leporidae
Source: RefSeq, a predicted model, not a curated record